Molecule: non-coding RNA, 123 nt
Organism: Triticum urartu
Lineage: Eukaryota; Viridiplantae; Streptophyta; Magnoliopsida; Poales; Poaceae
Source: Rfam
AUGAUACUCUCUCCGCCCGGAAAUACUUGUCGGAGAAAUGAAUGUACCUAAACGUAUUUUAGUUCUAGAUACAUCCAAUUGUAUCCAUUUUACGACAAGUAAUUCCGGACGGAGUAGUAUGUC